GUGUUUCCAUGUUUCUUCUAGAUAUAUACGUGGUUCCUAGAGAUAUAUCUGUUGGCCAGUUUAUCCAUAUUUUAAGCAGCCGGCUUCAACUGACUCCUGGGAAAGCGCUUUUUGUAUUUGUGAAGACCUCAAACAGCAAGUCGUAUGGAUUCCAUUUACGAAAGUUACAAGGAAGAUGAUGGAUUUCUGUAUAUGUGUUACAGCAGCGAGAAAACCUUUGGCUAAUCAUUUCUAAUUUUCGAAUAGUUCAUACUUGUAAGUAUUUAUCAUUCUCACUUGUUCUGAACACAGACGCCUGCGUGACCCUGUAAUUUCAUGUUCAUUGUAUAUUUUAAUUUCUUCUCUUUUCUGUAAAGUUCAUAACCUGUAAUAAUAAUGCCAUAUUAUCUUUCCCAUUACUCAAUUAAUACAUCCAUCACAUUGGUGGCUUUCACAAGAAAACUUGUGAUCAUUCUUUGUGCUUUUCA
Long non-coding RNA from Rosa chinensis, 467 nucleotides. RefSeq lists it as uncharacterized. NCBI's taxonomy places the organism in Eukaryota, Viridiplantae, Streptophyta, Magnoliopsida, Rosales, Rosaceae. The transcript has 2 exons. The record is from RefSeq and is a predicted model, not a curated record.